GUAUCAUGGCUCAGGACGAACGCUGGCGGCGUGCUUAACACAUGCAAGUCGAACGGGAUUUAGUAGACAGAAACCUCGGUGGAAGAUUACUAAUGAGAGUGGCGAACGGGUGAGUAACGCGUGAGCAACCUGCCUAUGACAGUGGGAUAGCCUCGGGAAACCGGGAUUAAUACCGCAUAAAAUCGUAGAAACACAUGUUUCAACGGUCAAAGAUUUAUCGGUCAUAGAUGGGCUCGCGUCUGAUUAG
RNAcentral lists this ribosomal RNA (247 nucleotides) under uncultured bacterium. RNAcentral's name for it is "partial 16S ribosomal RNA". It matches the Rfam family "Bacterial small subunit ribosomal RNA", at positions 14 to 244 of the family's 1533-position model. The record is from RNAcentral.